GGGCGUGUGCCCGAGCGGCCAAAGGGGACGGGCUGUAAACCCGUUGGCGAAAGCCUACCCAGGUUCAAAUCCUGGCGCGCCCA
RNAcentral lists this transfer RNA (83 nucleotides) under Phycisphaerales bacterium. Its description in RNAcentral is "tRNA-Tyr". It matches the Rfam family "tRNA". Rfam says of the family: Transfer RNA (tRNA) molecules are approximately 80 nucleotides in length. Lineage: Bacteria; Pseudomonadati; Planctomycetota; Phycisphaerae; Phycisphaerales. The record is from RNAcentral.